This 651-nucleotide ribosomal RNA is filed under the name Escherichia coli. RNAcentral describes it as "partial 23S ribosomal RNA". It matches the Rfam family "Bacterial large subunit ribosomal RNA", at positions 474 to 1125 of the family's 2925-position model. The record is from RNAcentral. Lineage: Bacteria; Pseudomonadati; Pseudomonadota; Gammaproteobacteria; Enterobacterales; Enterobacteriaceae. RNAcentral also lists the same sequence under 1 other name.
UCCUGACUGACCGAUAGUGAACCAGUACCGUGAGGGAAAGGCGAAAAGAACCCCGGCGAGGGGAGUGAAAAAGAACCUGAAACCGUGUACGUACAAGCAGUGGGAGCACGCUUAGGCGUGUGACUGCGUACCUUUUGUAUAAUGGGUCAGCGACUUAUAUUCUGUAGCAAGGUUAACCGAAUAGGGGAGCCGAAGGGAAACCGAGUCUUAACUGGGCGUUAAGUUGCAGGGUAUAGACCCGAAACCCGGUGAUCUAGCCAUGGGCAGGUUGAAGGUUGGGUAACACUAACUGGAGGACCGAACCGACUAAUGUUGAAAAAUUAGCGGAUGACUUGUGGCUGGGGGUGAAAGGCCAAUCAAACCGGGAGAUAGCUGGUUCUCCCCGAAAGCUAUUUAGGUAGCGCCUCGUGAAUUCAUCUCCGGGGGUAGAGCACUGUUUCGGCAAGGGGGUCAUCCCGACUUACCAACCCGAUGCAAACUGCGAAUACCGGAGAAUGUUAUCACGGGAGACACACGGCGGGUGCUAACGUCCGUCGUGAAGAGGGAAACAACCCAGACCGCCAGCUAAGGUCCCAAAGUCAUGGUUAAGUGGGAAACGAUGUGGGAAGGCCCAGACAGCCAGGAUGUUGGCUUAGAAGCAGCCAUCAUUUA